Molecule: ribosomal RNA, 441 nt
Filed under: uncultured bacterium
Lineage: Bacteria
Description: partial 16S ribosomal RNA
Rfam family: Bacterial small subunit ribosomal RNA
Source: RNAcentral
CCUACGGGAGGCAGCAGUGGGGAAUAUUGCACAAUGGGGGGAACCCUGAUGCAGCGACGCCGCGUGGGUGAAGGAGUAUUUCGGUAUGUAAAGCCCUAUCAGCAGGGAAGAACAAUGACGGUACCUGACUAAGAAGCACCGGCUAAAUACGUGCCAGCAGCCGCGGUAAUACGUAUGGUGCAAGCGUUAUCCGGAUUUACUGGGUGUAAAGGGAGCGCAGGCGGCGCGUUAAGCCUGGUGUGAAAGUCCGCGGCCCAACCGCGGGACUGCAUUGGGAACUGGCGCGCUGGAGUGCCGGAGGAGUAGGCGGAAUGCCUAGUGUAGCGGUGAAAUGCGUAGAUAUUAGGAGGAACACCAGUGGCGAAGGCGGCCUACUGGACGGUGACUGACGCUGAGGCUCGAAAGCGUGGGGAGCAAACAGGAUUAGAUACCCCGGUAGUC